Molecule: ribosomal RNA, 585 nt
Filed under: uncultured bacterium
Lineage: Bacteria
Description: bacterial SSU rRNA
Rfam family: Bacterial small subunit ribosomal RNA
Source: RNAcentral
CCUACGGGAGGCAGCAGUAGGGAAUCUUCCGCAAUGGACGAAAGUCUGACGGAGCAACGCCGCGUGAACGAUGAAGGCCUUCGGGUCGUAAAGUUCUGUUGUUAGGGAAGAACAAGUGCUAGUUGAAUAAGCUGGCACCUUGACGGUACCUAACCAGAAAGCCACGGCUAACUACGUGCCAGCAGCCGCGGUAAUACGUAGGUGGCAAGCGUUGUCCGGAAUUAUUGGGCGUAAAGCGCGCGCAGGCGGUUUCUUAAGUCUGAUGUGAAAGCCCCCGGCUCAACCGGGGAGGGUCAUUGGAAACUGGGAAACUUGAGUGCAGAAGAGGAAAGUGGAAUUCCAAGUGUAGCGGUGAAAUGCGUAGAGAUUUGGAGGAACACCAGUGGCGAAGGCGACUUUCUGGUCUGUAACUGACGCUGAGGCGCGAAAGCGUGGGGAGCAAACAGGAUUAGAUACCCUGGUAGUCCACGCUGUAAACGAUGAGUGCUAAGUGUUAGAGGGUUUCCGCCUUUAGUGCUGAAGUUAACGCAUUAAGCACUCCGCCUGGGGAGUACGGUCGCAAGCUGAAACUUAAGGAAUUGACGG